Long non-coding RNA from Asparagus officinalis (garden asparagus), 717 nucleotides. RefSeq lists it as uncharacterized. Lineage: Eukaryota; Viridiplantae; Streptophyta; Magnoliopsida; Asparagales; Asparagaceae. The transcript has 4 exons. The record is from RefSeq and is a predicted model, not a curated record.
UUUGAGAGAAGAGGACCCAAACCGAGAGCGCUGGGGUGGGAGGGAUCGAACUGGGCAAAGGAAUUUGGAGGGAGAGAAGAGGAGGAGGAGGAGCUGAGGUUAUUUUGGUAAUUUAGAGGAUGUUUAGAAUCUAGAAUUAGUCCGUGGUGAUUAUUAUUUGUUUUUUUUUUUUUUUUUUGGGCAAAGGAAAGAGGAGAGGAGACCCGUUCUCAAAGGAGGUUGGCAGUUAGGGCUUCAAAAUUAUGUUCCGUAUUUUAUGCCUGGUUCUGUUGAAUCAAGAAGCUGUUUAUGUUUUGAUGUUGCAGAACUCCACUUUAUGCCAAGUUACCCAGGAUUUACAGAACCUUACCUUCACUUCCUGCAUUUGGAUGAGAACUCUGAGGAGAGAAUUUCCCAGAAGGCAUGAUCUUUACUAGUGCACGAGUUCAGUUGGCAUCACCUUGACUUCGUAGAAUCAAAGGGUACCUAGCUGAUGAAACACUGAAGAUGGGGCAAUGGCAACUGACUCGUUUAUCCAAAUUAAUUCAUGUACAAUUUACUCGAAGAACGUUCAAAGUUUAGAAAUACAAUGAGAAGGUAGGUGCAUCAUGGAGCUUAUUGCAAGUAAAGGAUAAGACCGUGAUUAACAUAUAAAGUAUAAAUAUUGAUAAAGCCUUGUGAUUCUACUAAAACAAAUAUUCAGUUGAUUUGGUAAGAAAUAGUGCAAUUCUAGAACUG